GAUAUGGCUCAGGAUGAACGCUGGCGGCGUGCUUAACACAUGCAAGUCGAACGAAGCACUUUAACCUGAUUCUUCGGAUGAAGGUUUUUGUGACUGAGUGGCGGACGGGUGAGUAACGCGUGGGUAACCUGCCUCAUACAGGGGGAUAACAGUUAGAAAUGACUGCUAAUACCGCAUAAGACCACGGAGUCGCAUGGCUCAGUGGGAAAAACUCCGGUGGUAUGAGAUGGACCCGCGU
This 238-nucleotide ribosomal RNA is filed under the name uncultured bacterium. RNAcentral describes it as "partial 16S ribosomal RNA". It matches the Rfam family "Bacterial small subunit ribosomal RNA", at positions 15 to 236 of the family's 1533-position model. The record is from RNAcentral.